Molecule: unclassified non-coding RNA, 338 nt
Filed under: Hevea brasiliensis (rubber tree)
Lineage: Eukaryota; Viridiplantae; Streptophyta; Magnoliopsida; Malpighiales; Euphorbiaceae
Source: RNAcentral
GGAUUACAUGCACGAGAUCGCUGCUGAAAUUAAGACUUUAAGUGGGCUGGAAAUGAAAUAACAAAAGAGAAAGAAAAGAAUAAGAAGUCUUAUGAUCUUUAAAUGUGCAAGAGUAGAAAUAUUAUGGGUUAGAAAUAUUGUUUCAUGGUCUAAUAAAAGGUUUAGUGCUGAACUCUUUUUAUGUUAUGUUAUAUGGAAAUAUUUUGGGUUACCAAGCUAGUUUGAAGGCAUUACAUCUAAAUAAAUUCUUACUAUUAAACCUGGAGUAGUUAUCACUGCCUUAAGUUACAUAAUUCUUGUGAAUUUGUUUAUACAGUCGUUCACAUGCAAUCUUCACU